GUCCACGCCGUAAACGAUGGAUGCUAGAUGUCGCGGGUAUUGACCCCUGCGGCGUCGAAGUUAACGCAUUAAGCAUCCCGCCUGGGGAGUACGGCCGCAAGGUUAAAACUCAAAGGAAUUGACGGGGGCCCCGCACAAGCGGUGGAGCAUGUGGUUCAAUUCGACGCAACGCGCAGAACCUUACCUGGGUUAAAUCCACCGGAAUCCCGCAGAGAUGUAGGAGUGCUCGCAAGAGAGCCGGUGAGAAGGUGCUGCAUGGCUGUCGU
Molecule: ribosomal RNA, 266 nt
Filed under: uncultured bacterium
Lineage: Bacteria
Description: partial 16S ribosomal RNA
Rfam family: Bacterial small subunit ribosomal RNA
Source: RNAcentral